UCCCUGGUGGUCCAGUGGCUAAGACGCUGAGCUCCCAAUGCAGAGGGCCCAGGUUUGAUACCUGGUCAGGGAA
Molecule: transfer RNA, 73 nt
Filed under: Bos taurus (domestic cattle)
Lineage: Eukaryota; Metazoa; Chordata; Mammalia; Artiodactyla; Bovidae
Also listed under: 3 other names
Rfam family: tRNA
About the family: Transfer RNA (tRNA) molecules are approximately 80 nucleotides in length.
Source: Rfam by way of RNAcentral